Molecule: ribosomal RNA, 2868 nt
Filed under: Bacteroidetes bacterium ADurb.Bin028
Lineage: Bacteria; Pseudomonadati; Bacteroidota
Description: bacterial LSU rRNA
Rfam family: Bacterial large subunit ribosomal RNA
Source: RNAcentral
AAGCAAAUAAGGACGUACGGUGGAUGCCUUGGCUCCUAGAGGCGAAGAAGGACGUGACAAGCUGCGAUAAGCUACGGGUAGGUGCAAAUAACUUAUAAUCCGUAGAUUUCCGAAUGGGGCAACCCAUCUUAUUUAAUAAGAUAUUCUUUUUAAGAAGGCUAACCUGGUGAACUGAAACAUCUUAGUAGCCAGAGGAACAGAAAACAAUAGUGAUUCCCUUAGUAGUGGCGAGCGAACGGGGAUUAGCCCAAACCGGAGAUGUUUUGGCAUUUUCGGGGUUAUAGGACUGCGACAUUUGGUUAUAAAAAGAAUUGGAAGUUAACUGGAAAGUUACACGAUACAAGGUGAAAGUCCUGUACAAGUAAUUUUUAUAAUUGAUAGCAGUAUCCUGAGUAGCGCGGGACACGAGGAACCCUGUGUGAAUUUGGCGGGACCAUCCGCUAAGGCUAAAUACUCCUAGGAGACCGAUAGUGAACAAGUACCGUGAGGGAAAGGUGAAAAGAACCCCUAGCAGGGGAGUGAAAUAGAUCCUAAAACCGUUCGUUUACAAACUGUCGGAGCAUAUUUAUAUGUGACGGCGUGCCUUUUGCAUAAUGAGCCUACGAGUUAGUCGUCUCUAGCGAGGAUAAGGGCUUCAGGUCUGUAUUCGAAGCGAAAGCGAGUCUUAAUAGGGCGAUGUUAGUUAGAGGCGCUAGACGCGAAACCUAAGUGAUCUACCCAUGGCCAGGUUGAAGUUGCGGUAAUGCGCAAUGGAGGACCGAACCAAUAGAUGUUGAAAAAUCUUUGGAUGAGUUGUGGGUAGGGGUGAAAGGCUAAUCAAACUGGGAAAUAGCUCGUACUCCCCGAAAUGCAUUUAGGUGCAGCCUUGGAUUAAGUGUUACAGAGGUAGAGCUACUGAUAGGGUUAGGGGACUUCACCGUCUACCGCCCCCUGACAAACUCCGAAUGCUGUAACAUGGUUUCCAGGAGUGAGGGCAUGGGUGCUAAGGUCCGUGUCCGAGAGGGAAAUAACCCAGACCAUCAGCUAAGGUCCCCAAAUAUACGCUAAGUUGACCAAACGUAGUGCGACUGCAUAGACAGCUAGGAUGUUGGCUUGGAAGCAGCCAUUCAUUUAAAGAGUGCGUAACAGCUCACUAGUCGAGCGGUUGUGCGUGGAUGAUACUCGGGCAUUAAGUGUAUUACCGAAGCUAUGGCAUAGUAAUUUAUUAUUAUGGGUAGGGGAGCAUUCCAUAUUCGUUGAAGCUGUAGCGUGAGCUAUAGUGGAGGUUAUGGAAGAGAAAAUGUAGGCAUGAGUAACGAUAAAACGGGUAAGAAACCCGUUCACCGAUAGACUAAGGUUUCCACGGCCAUGCUAAUCAGCCGUGGGUUAGUCGGGUCCUAAGGAAAACCCAAAGGGGGUAUCCGAUGGCAAAUUGGUUAAUAUUCCAAUACCUAUAUUAACUGCGAUGGGGUGACGAAGUAGUGGCAUAUCCGCGUACUGACGGAAUAGUACGUUAAAGGGUGUAGAUUAUGAUUUAGUUAAUAGCUAGAUUUUUCGAACCUGACAGUACCAUGAUCCUUCGGGUGAUUGGAUAGUGAUAGUAAUCAUACUUCCUAGAAAAACCUCUAAGCUUCAGGUUAAUAUAGCCCGUACCUCAAACCGACACAGGUAGUCAAGGAGAGAAUCCUGAGGUGCUCGAGUUAGUCGUGGCUAAGGAACUAGGCAAAUUUACCCCGUAACUUCGGGAUAAGGGGUCCCUACGCGAGUAGGGCGCAGAGAAAUGGCCCAUGCGACUGUUUAACAAAAACAUAUGGCUUUGCAAAAUUGAAAGAUGAAGUAUAAGGCCUGACACCUGCCCGGUGCCGGAAGGUUAAAAGGGGAUGUUAUCAGCAAUGAGAAGCAUUGAAUUGAAGCCCCGGUAAACGGCGGCCGUAACUAUAACGGUCCUAAGGUAGCGAAAUUCCUUGUCGGGUAAGUUCCGACCUGCACGAAUGGUGUAACGAUGUGGGCACUGUCUCAGCCACGCGCUCGGUGAAAUUGUAGUUCCGGUGAAGAUGCCGGAUACCCGCGACGGGACGAAAAGACCCCGUGCACCUUUACUAUAACUUCAUAUUGAUUCUGGUUAAGUGAUGUGUAGGAUAGGACGGAGACUAUGAGGCAUGUUCGCUAGGGCAUGUGGAGUCAUCCUUGAAAUACGUCCCUUUACUUAAUUGGAACCUAAUCCCUUCGGGGAGACAGUGUGUGGUGGGUAGUUUGACUGGGGUGGUCGCCUCCAAAAUCGUAACGGAGGCUUUCAAAGGUACCCUCAGCACGCUUGGUAACCGUGCGUAGAGUGUAAUGGCAUAAGGGUGCUUGACUGUGAGACCGACGGGUCGAUCAGGUAGGAAACUAGGACAUAGUGAUCCGGUGGUUCCGCAUGGAAGGGCCAUCGCUCAAAGGAUAAAAGGUACGCCGGGGAUAACAGGCUGAUCGCUCCCAAGAGCUCACAUCGACGGAGCGGUUUGGCACCUCGAUGUCGGCUCGUCACAUCCUGGGGCUGGAGAAGGUCCCAAGGGUUGGGCUGUUCGCCCAUUAAAGUGGCACGCGAGCUGGGUUCAGAACGUCGUGAGACAGUUCGGUCCCUAUCUGUCGUGGGCGUAGGAAACUUGAGAGGACCUGACAUUAGUACGAGAGGACCGUGUUGGACAAACCUCUAGUGUACCUGUUGUGGCGCCAGCUGCAUCGCAGGGUAGCUACGUUUGGACGAGAUAAGUGCUGAAAGCAUCUAAGCACGAAGCUCCCCUCAAGAUGAGGUUUCCAUUAAGGGUCGUUAUAGACUAUGACGUUGAUAGGCUGCAGGUGUAAAGGCAGUAAUGUCAAAGCCGAGCAGUACUAAUUACCCAAUAGCUU